RNAcentral lists this long non-coding RNA (302 nucleotides) under Elaeis guineensis (African oil palm). Its description in RNAcentral is "long non-coding RNA (EGUI_LNC007278)". The record is from RNAcentral. Lineage: Eukaryota; Viridiplantae; Streptophyta; Magnoliopsida; Arecales; Arecaceae.
UAUGAAUUAAAAUCUGGGUAUGUUUAAUGUGUGCAGAAUUUUAAAUAUGGUUUUGACCAUAUUUUUGUUAUGAAAUCAGAUUUGAUAUUAAACUGAUUUUCUUAAAAUUUUGAUCUGAUUUUGAUUAGAUCUUAAUGAAUAGGAAUCAGAUCUGGUUUUAUAAUUUUUCUAUAAAAUUUUGGAUCUGUUUUGAACAAGUAUUCAAAAUCUGUUUUGAACAGAUUUUUUCAAAGACUUGUAAAUCUAUUUUUGAAUAGAUUUUUAGAUCUAUUUAGAAUAGAUUUUUUAUGUGUUUUGAAUCU